GACGAACGCUGGCGGUGUGCUUAACACAUGCAAGUCGAGCGAGAAGCCAGGGGGCUUGCCCUUGGUGGACAGCGGCGAACGGGUGAGUAACACGUGGGCAACCUGCCCCAGACACUGGGAUAAACUCCGGGAAACCGGGGCUAAUACCGGAUACUCCGAUCGGAUCACAUGUUCUGAUCGGGAAAGCUCCGACGGUCUGGGAUGGGCCCGCGGUCUAUCAGCUUGUUGGUGGGGUAAUGGCCCACCAAGGCGUCGACGGAUAGCUGGCGUGAGAGC
RNAcentral lists this ribosomal RNA (276 nucleotides) under uncultured bacterium. RNAcentral's name for it is "partial 16S ribosomal RNA". It matches the Rfam family "Bacterial small subunit ribosomal RNA", at positions 28 to 299 of the family's 1533-position model. The record is from RNAcentral.